CAGUCGAACGGUGAAGAGGAGCUUGCUUCUUGGAUCAGUGGCGAACGGGUGAGUAACACGUGAGUAACCUGCCCUUGACUCUGGGAUAACUGCUAGAAAUGGUAGCUAAUACCGGAUACGACCCUCGGCCGCAUGGUCAGGGGGUGGAAAGAAUUUUGGUCAAGGAUGGACUCGCGGCCUAUCAGCUAGUUGGUGAGGUUAUGGCUCACCAAGGCGACGACGGGUAGCCGGCCUGAGAGGGUGACCGGCCACACUGGGACUGAGACACGGCCCAGACUCCUACGGGAGGCAGCAGUGGGGAAUAUUGCACAAUGGGCGCAAGCCUGAUGCAGCAACGCCGCGUGAGGGACGAAGGCCUUCGGGUUGUAAACCUCUUUUAGUAGGGAAGAAGCGUAAAAGUGACGGUACCUGCAGAAAAAGCACCGGCUAACUACGUGCCAGCAGCCGCGGUAAUACGUAGGGUGCAAGCGUUAUCCGGAAUUAUUGGGCGUAAAGAGCUCGUAGGCGGUUUGUCGCGUCUGCUGUGAAAUCUGGGGGCUCAACCCCCAGCCUGCAGUGGGUACGGGCAGACUAGAGUGCGGUAGGGGAGAUUGGAAUUCCUGGUGUAGCGGUGGAAUGCGCAGAUAUCAGGAGGAACACCAAUGGCGAAGGCAGAUCUCUGGGCCGUAACUGACGCUGAGGAGCGAAAGCAUGGGGAGCG
RNAcentral lists this ribosomal RNA (700 nucleotides) under uncultured bacterium. RNAcentral describes it as "bacterial SSU rRNA". It matches the Rfam family "Bacterial small subunit ribosomal RNA", at positions 59 to 770 of the family's 1533-position model. The record is from RNAcentral.